AGGAGGAACAGCCCCAGUGGCGGGGCAGCUCUGGAAACCUGGAUUCAGCUCCGGCAGGAACUCCGUCUGCAGGGCCUGGAGGCUCUGGGCGGGG
This 94-nucleotide microRNA precursor is filed under the name Canis lupus familiaris (dog). Its description in RNAcentral is "mir-8834 microRNA precursor family". It matches the Rfam family "mir-8834 microRNA precursor family". The record is from Rfam by way of RNAcentral. RNAcentral also lists the same sequence under 1 other name. Lineage: Eukaryota; Metazoa; Chordata; Mammalia; Carnivora; Canidae.